This 305-nucleotide ribosomal RNA is filed under the name uncultured bacterium. RNAcentral's name for it is "bacterial SSU rRNA". It matches the Rfam family "Bacterial small subunit ribosomal RNA", at positions 337 to 640 of the family's 1533-position model. The record is from RNAcentral.
UCCUACGGGGCGCAGCAGUGAGGAAUAUUGGUCAAUGGUCGGGAGACUGAACCAGCCAAGCCGCGUGAGGGAUGAAGGUACAGAGUAUCGUAAACCUCUUUUGUCAGGGAACAAAGGCGGGGACGCGUCCCCGGAUGAGUGUACCUGAAGAAAAAGCAUCGGCUAACUCCGUGCCAGCAGCCGCGGUAAUACGGAGGAUGCGAGCGUUAUCCGGAUUUAUUGGGUUUAAAGGGUGCGCAGGCGGGCUGUUAAUGCAGCGGUCAAAGCCCCGGGCUCAAACCCGGCCCGCCGUUGAAACUGGCAGG